This is a non-coding RNA of Hymenopellis radicata, 95 nucleotides long. NCBI's taxonomy places the organism in Eukaryota, Fungi, Basidiomycota, Agaricomycetes, Agaricales, Physalacriaceae. The record is from the annotation of a GenBank genome assembly.
UCCCUCUUAGCUCAGUGGUAGAGCGCGUCACUAGUAUCCCCAUGCUGGUGAUUGAUAUCAUGACGAGGUCAGUCGUUCAAGUCGGCUAGAGGGAA